RNAcentral lists this ribosomal RNA (396 nucleotides) under uncultured bacterium. RNAcentral describes it as "partial 16S ribosomal RNA". It matches the Rfam family "Bacterial small subunit ribosomal RNA", at positions 523 to 918 of the family's 1533-position model. The record is from RNAcentral.
AUACGUAGGGGGCGAGCGUUGUCCGGAAUGAUUGGGCGUAAAGGGCGCGUAGGCGGCCCGGUAAGUCUGGAGUGAAAGUCCUGUUUUUAAGAUGGGAAUUGCUUUGGAUACUGUCGGGCUUGAGUGCAGGAGAGGUAAGUGGAAUUCCCAGUGUAGCGGUGAAAUGCGUAGAGAUUGGGAGGAACACCAGUGGCGACGGCGACUUACUGGACUGUAACUGACGCUGAGGCGCGAAAGUGUGGGGAGCAAACAGGAUUAGAUACCCUGGUAGUCCACGCUGUAAACGAUGAUCACUAGGUGUGGGGGGACUGACCCCUUCCGUGCCACAGUUAACACAAUAAGUGAUCCACCUGGGGAGUACGGCCGCAAGGUUGAAACUCAAAGGAAUUGACGGGG